UGGCCCUGUGGCGAAAAGGUACCGCGUUGCCCUCCGACUAACGUGACCUCACGUUUAUGAAAGGCAGAGAUUGUGGGUUCGAUCCCCAUCAGGGUCG
This 97-nucleotide transfer RNA is filed under the name Pseudogymnoascus verrucosus. RNAcentral's name for it is "partial tRNA-Arg". It matches the Rfam family "tRNA". From Rfam's summary of the family: Transfer RNA (tRNA) molecules are approximately 80 nucleotides in length. Their secondary structure includes four short double-helical elements and three loops (D, anti-codon, and T loops). Further hydrogen bonds mediate the characteristic L-shaped molecular structure. tRNAs have two regions of fundamental functional importance: the anti-codon, which is responsible for specific mRNA codon recognition, and the 3' end, to which the tRNAs corresponding amino acid is attached (by aminoacyl-tRNA synthetases). tRNAs cope with the degeneracy of the genetic code in two manners: having more than one tRNA (with a specific anti-codon) for a particular amino acid; and 'wobble' base-pairing, i.e. permitting non-standard base-pairing at the 3rd anti-codon position. Lineage: Eukaryota; Fungi; Ascomycota; Leotiomycetes; Thelebolales; Thelebolaceae. The record is from RNAcentral.